ACCUGAAAUAGUGGUUGGGAGGCCUGAAUC
This 30-nucleotide non-coding RNA is filed under the name Cricetulus griseus (Chinese hamster). The record is from RNAcentral. Lineage: Eukaryota; Metazoa; Chordata; Mammalia; Rodentia; Cricetidae.